Gasterosteus aculeatus aculeatus (three-spined stickleback) is the source of this 2194-nucleotide long non-coding RNA. Lineage: Eukaryota; Metazoa; Chordata; Actinopteri; Perciformes; Gasterosteidae. The record is from Ensembl.
UGACCAAAAAUGAAUCAAGAUAUUACAUCCGCAUUAACAAAAAAACGAAAUAAGCAGCACAACUGGCGUUUAUUUAAGAAGCUGAACACCAGCAACAUGUUUGUCAAAUUGAACCUGAGAAGAGGCCCAUCAGCAAAAUGGGUUUCAGGUCAUCUCAACUGUGUGUCAUUGAUUACAAUCAUCUCCUUAAUUCAUUGGUUGUUGCUGCCAAUUCCAAUGGAAGAAACCAUCGAUCGGGUCAUUUUUAAUCCUCCGGUAAUUUCCGGUAUAUGUUGGAUAUUUGAAGGAGAAACUGCGCUCAUUGGCUGUUGGAACCCUGGUUAUCAGAGACUCAGCAGCAUUUAAACAAUGCUGACAGAUUUUUGGGAUCUUCGCGCAAAUAAAGGUUCUUCAGGUCAAUUGUUCAAGAAAAGUUCAAAGUUCAAAGCAGCAAUCGACAAAUCUUUUUCCCCAUCCCGUUAACACGGUCCAACCGACAAGACAACAUUCAUGUGUCUUAAAAACCAUAGCAUUUUCAUUCCAUUCAAGAGGUUUAUUUACUCUCCCGUUUAUCUGUUUUGUUUGGACUUGAAGUUGUUUCUUUAAAGCUCCUUUGAAUGCCGCUGGACACAAUAGCUGGAAGCCUCCUCAGCGCUUUCCUGUUGCCUUCAAAUACACAUAAACUUAUGAAUAAACUCGCUCUCGGCCUCCCUGUCGUCUCCCGCCGCAGCUCCUCUCUCGUCGCCCUCUAAUCAGCUAAACACAACAGCGGAGUCAACUUCCUGUCCCGGUUUGGAGGGGGGGGGGGGGGGGGGGGUUGCUCCCGCCCCUUCCUGUCUGUGUUAUCUCUCCCGCGAGCCGACACAUUGUGUUCACUUCCCGUUCGCUUCGGCCUGGGAAAACAACCUUGGCGAGGGAAGGAAAGCGGCGAGCUGAGGAGGAACACGGGGACGAGACCAGGAGGGACGACGGAGGGAACAAUGUGGAGCGGUGAUGAGUUUUCCAGCUGAGCAGAAACACUAAAGAGCAAAAGAAAAAACACUGAUUGUGCGAUAGGUGUUAACAUCCUGUUUGCAAAGCGAGGCCCAACGCAACGUUUACCAAGUAACGAAGAUCACCUUUUGUGUAACGAGCAACUUAUUUUUUCUGGCGGCCAUCUUUGUUUGAACCAAACGCAGCUCGUGGGUCUCACUGGAGGAAAUGUUUUUCAGACCCGUCGGUCUCCGGGGAACAACAUUAAAGUUGUUUUUCGCAUUUCUUUUUUAUGUCGUCGCCAUUAUCUCUGAAUUUGAAAGAAAAAAAAAACGGUGUUGUUGAAAUCGGCCGCCUGCAGCAGGCAGAAACGCUCCAUUAUCUAUUUUCCUAAAAGUGUUGUGUGGUUCGGUCCUGAGACAUUUGGAGAGGCAGAUGGGUAAAUCCAAAAUACAUCAAUCAUUACAUUAAAUACCGUUAUUAUGUUCCUCCUCAUUACUGUGCAGCUGCAAGAUGACGGAUGCCAUGUUGUAUAAGUAUAAUAGCUGAACAUGAUAAAAAGUGUUUAUAUGUGUUUAUAUUUCUAAAGUGAAAAUCAGGUUGGGAUUCAGACAGAAAAUAGUUUUUUAAAGUUUUUCCUCUUAAUGUCAAGAAAACAACAAAAUGUGUAUCAAGAUAUUAGCCUGAAAAAAGCAGACCUUUGGUUGAUUUCGCAUUUCUAUGUUUGCAAAGUGUUAUUGAGGAGUAUACUUUGAGUGAAAAAAACAACAACAAAAAAAAAAACGUGCCUCGUGGUGAUUUAACGGCUUCACCUCCUUUUAUUCGCAGUCGGUGUUGCUGCAUUUAGAAGAAGUCAAACUUGACACAAUCUGUUGUGAUCGCUGGAAAGUGAAAGACUUGCUGUCGAAUGGCCGUCUGAGGGAAUAUGUGAUUAACCGUUCUUCUGUGUGUGUGCUUGUGCUUGUGAUUGUGCUCAUGUAGAUACACACAAAAGGGUGUCAAACCAAUAUAAAAAAAAAAAGAGUAACCACGUAGAAAUACACGUGUAAAUACAGUAUGGGUCUCCAAGUGAGCAACAUGUGCCUUUAUCCUUAAACAAAAUACUGUAUUUCCUUUUUUUGAUGGCAAACACAAUGUUUUAUAUAUUGUUUUUAUGGUGUAAAGCAACUACUUUUUAUUACCUGACAUUUUUGUAAGUGUAAUGUAAAAAUAAACACUACAUUAAGUUCUGUUGUCCUUCUGA